ACAUUACUAGUAUAAUUUUGAGUAUGCUGUCUUUCCAAGUCAGUGGUCCUGCUAGGGUAUUGUA
Molecule: transfer RNA, 64 nt
Filed under: Plagiorchis multiglandularis
Lineage: Eukaryota; Metazoa; Platyhelminthes; Trematoda; Plagiorchiida; Plagiorchiidae
Description: tRNA-Gly
Source: RNAcentral